AACGAACGCUGGCGGCAUGCCUAACACAUGCAAGUCGAACGAGACCUUCGGGUCUAGUGGCGCUCGGGUGCGUAACGCGUGGGAACCUGCCCUUAGGUUCGGAAUAACUCCCCGAAAGGGGUGCUAAUACCGGAUAAUGUCCUCGGACCAAAGAUUAAUCGCGUUUGGAAGGGCCCGCGUUGGUUUCGCUAGUUGGGAGGGGAAAAGCCUACCAAGGCGACGCUCCAUAGCUGGUCUCAGAGGGUGGUCAGCCACACGUGGACUAAGACACGGCCCAGAAUCCUACAGGAGGCAGCCGUGGCUAAUCUUGGACAAUGGGCGAAAGCCUGAACCAGCAAGGCCGCGUGAGCGAUGAAGGCCUUAGGGAUGUACAGCUCUUUUACCCGGGAUGAUAAUGACAGUACCGAGAGAAUAAGCUCCGGCUAACUUCGUG
This 433-nucleotide ribosomal RNA is filed under the name uncultured bacterium. RNAcentral's name for it is "partial 16S ribosomal RNA". It matches the Rfam family "Bacterial small subunit ribosomal RNA", at positions 29 to 507 of the family's 1533-position model. The record is from RNAcentral.